Long non-coding RNA from Accipiter nisus (Eurasian sparrowhawk), 2654 nucleotides. NCBI's taxonomy places the organism in Eukaryota, Metazoa, Chordata, Aves, Accipitriformes, Accipitridae. The record is from Ensembl.
GGGGGACGUGCGGGGGGGUGCGGGAAGAUGUGCGGGGGGGUGCGGGAGGACAGGGGGAUGCGGGAAGGUGUGCAGGGGGAUGCGGGAGGGUGUGCAGGGGGUGCGGGAGGAUGUGCAGGGGGAUGCGGGAGGGUGUGCAGGGGAGUGCGGGAGGGUGUGCAGGGGAGUGCGGGAGGAUGCAGGAGGGUAGGGGGUUGCAGAAGGACGUGCAGAAGGACGUGGGAAGAUGUGCGGAGGGAUGCGGGAAGACAGGGGGAUGCGGGAGGAGAGAGCGAUGGGAGCAGAUGUGCGGAGAGGGCUGUGGUCUGCGGGAGGACAGAGGGAGCCCCGCUGGGCCAGGGUUUCUGCUGCGGGAGCAGCUCUGCUUUCCAGCGCUCUCGCUUUCCCAUGGGGAUUUUAAAAUUUGUGUCGGCUCCCCGGCUCGGCUGAGAGCACGGUGCGUUGCGGCAGCAGGGCAGGAGCGAGCUGAAGGCCAGGCGAGCGCUCAAGGCUGCUGCUGCAGCCUCCACUCGUGGCCCGGAGCUGCGGCUCGAUCCACCCCACCACCGGCUGGGUUGCUUCAUCAGGUCACUGUAUAAAUAUUGAAUGCUGUGGAAGAGCGGAUUCAUCCUUGCAAGACUCACAAGACCUGCAAAGUGAGAACACAGGAGGUGGAAGAACAGUUAUCCAUAGCAACCCUUGGAAACAAAGAGAGAGGUGAAGGCAAAUGCAGGCUAAUUAUAAAUAUCCAUUUCUGAUCUAUAUACAGCCUAGUAACAUGUACAGUGAAAUUUAUUAUAGGAAAUAAUUUAUGCUUGCACAGUGGAAAAAUGAUAUAUAUUUAAUGGCCUUUGCAUCUAAUUAUCAGGCAACUUUCUAAACAAAGCUCAAAGCUGACCAUUUUUUAUACUCAAAAUCUCACUCUGGUCUGGUUGAAGCAAGACAGAAACAGGUACCAGAGAUCUCAAGAAAACAGUUUAUUUCUCUCUAGCCAUGUCAUUUUAAUCUCCUAAUUGUAAAACUUACAUAUGCCUUUCUAAAAUCUGUAUUUGGAUAGGUAAUUCUAAAUGCACUUGAUCUGCCUUAUUCGCUUGCCAUAUAAUAGUUGUAGUGUUCUUAAGAAUUAGUCAUAGACUAAAAUAAUAAGCAUGGCGCCGAUAAAUAUUACAUUUGCAAAUACCUUGAAAAUGGAGCCUGACUUCACUAAUGUCUUAUAAGAUCACUUGAUGCAAAAAAUCUGCAUUAUCUAGUUUACAAACAUUUUGAAUGAAAACUUAAAGGUACCUCAAAGAUAACAGCUGUUAUCAUUAGUUGAAUGGAAAAAUUAAAUGACCUUUCUUAAACCAUUACAUAUAUGCAUUAUAUAAACUCCUAAGGUCCAUCUAGUCUUCUGAGACUGAGUUUUGUUGUGAUAGCAUCAUUGCACCUGCCAAAGUUGUGUCAUCAUGUUUGCGGUAUUGCAAAACAACAUGCUUCGGGUUAGAUUGGCUUGUACAUUGCAAUACUGCAGUAUUACUGAUGUCACAGCUGUCUGGUGUCUCACGAACACCCAAAUUGCUUAGGAGGAACCUCAGGCUUAUGUGGCAUUUCCUCCAACAAACUCUGCUCUUCUUCAUCAGUCUUAUCCAACUCCAAUCUAAGCACUCAUAGUACUUCUAGUUCCACACUUGUUGGCUGCAUUGCUUAAUUCAGGCAAGGUGUGAGAGCUGGUAUAAAAAGUGUACAGGCUGCUUUAUCAAAGUAACUCUGCUUGGGUAGAGUAUGGGUGUUCAGGAUCAGUCAAGAGGUAGGAGCAGUAUUUUAUAGACUUAUGUAGGGCUCCUACCCAGAGGAAGGGAUGAGUGAUUGAGGUAAGUCUCUUGGAAGUGAGUAAGCAAAGUUGGUAGGUGUUCCACCAUUUUUUGCAGGGGUGAUGGACCUUUUCUGGUUAGGAUGGGUUUCUCCCUGAUCUGAAGGGGAAAAAAAAUGCCUGUGCCUGAUAUAAAGGAGUGUAUUGUUUUGUUUCCUCUCUAACGGCUUGUAUUCCUCUGUUAUGUUUGUUUUAUGUACGUAAAAUAAAAAUGAUAUUUUUUUUAAUUAGAGCAGUUGUUGGAGUGUUUUAUCUAGGCUAGAGGAAAAUGAGAUCAUUUUGUAUCUGGCAGAGAAUAAGAACACAGUAGCUGUGCCCAGAAGGUAAUCUGAAGCUCCUUUUAAAAUAGUUGGGAGAGCAGGGUGGAAGUUUUUUACCAACAGCUGUAUCAGACCCUGAGGCAACAGCAGUAAUUCUGCUUGGCAGAAGCACUAUAGAGAUCCACUUUGCCAGCAACUGAAGCAGUAGGAACUGAAACUGCAAAGAAACCAGCAAGAAGACAGUGGCAAUCCUUGCUAUUUUUCUGGCUCUUGAGAACCAAAGGCUGCAGUAAGCGCAGUUACAUGAAGACUUGUGCAAUAGUCCACUGAACCUGUGUCUGAAGAUGACCUAAAAAUCCUUUCUAAGGAGUCUUGAACAGUUGCCUGGAGUAUAAAAGCAGCUUUGAUAUAAGUGGGCCAUCACUGGUAUGAAUGGGUCCUGCUUUGGCAAGGAAGUAACUUGAAUCUUGGUUGUAAUCCAGCUCUUUAUUUGUUAUGGGCAUCCAUACCUGCGGAUGGGAGAGUGAAUGGAAACCUGCUGAAAGGUACUGCACUGCACUGAUGGG